Aptenodytes forsteri (emperor penguin) is the source of this 1061-nucleotide long non-coding RNA. RefSeq lists it as uncharacterized. Lineage: Eukaryota; Metazoa; Chordata; Aves; Sphenisciformes; Spheniscidae. The record is from RefSeq and is a predicted model, not a curated record. The transcript has 3 exons.
GCGGGGACCCGCAGCAGCCGUCCAUGUUUCCUUGGUGACUGUUGCCAGGUGAGAAACUCUAAGGCAGAAUUUAUUAUCUUGGCGGAUAACCGGAGACGUUCCUCGCUGGAGCUGUUACCGGACUGUGCCCCAGCACUGUGCCAGGCUGGACCCUCUAGUGCCACCGGUGCUAGUGGGAGCCCCCGAGGGAGGGCUGUGCCCAGGGCGCCGGGGCUGCUCGGCCUCUGGCAUUGCUUCCCGGAAGGCGGCACGUGUUUUGGGGCUAUUUCUGCCCACUGGAGUGUCGCAUGCGAGGGAAGGAGGCGAAACCACAGGGACCGCGGAGAAGUGCAGAUGGACGUGGGCUGGUGGGCUGCCCUGCCUUGGCUUCCCUAGACCCCUGUUACAGCAUCACCUGCUGCCUGAGCUGCGACUGUAGCCAAAGAGGCAUGACUUCAAAAUACAUAAUUAUCGCAAAGACCUAUAAAUACACCCGAAGAAGGAGCCGAGCCGCCAGGCAGGCGUGUGUAAAGCAGACAUGGCUAUUUUCAGAGUGAGAGCCAGUGACGGAGCCUGCUCCCACCCCACGUACAGCCCGCGCUCUCACACACAAAUGCCCUCACGCGUCUGCGGGCGUGCAAGGGGCUGGAAAAACUGCACAGCAAAUCCCCCGUAUACCACUGCGGGCAGACACCACUGCCAUGGCCUUGUGUUCAAAGUGCAUUGUGUGAACACUGGGAUUAAAAAAACAAUGAAGGCUGGGAUUAAGAAAAUAAUGAAGCUGGGAUGGUCUCCGGGACAGGGCAGACAUUUGUGGGAACAGGAGAACUGACAUCUGCACGUGGUGGCAGGACUCAGGCCGGUGCCUGGGGCAUCCCUGGGUGAGGGGAGACUCCUGAGUGCUGGUGCCUGCAGCAAGGCACGGGGCAGGGACUCGGGCAGCACCGUGCCACCCUUGUGAAGGGAAAACAGUGUUUUCUCCUUCCCUCUGCCUUUCUCUCCUAUUCCAGCUCCCGACAGUGAGGUCUGCAAAACACAUGAGCUUCUAGGUGCUGCCGUAACAUAAAUAACCUGCCACCCCA